Loxodonta africana (African savanna elephant) is the source of this 3062-nucleotide RNA transcript. It is a transcript of the gene named deoxynucleotidyltransferase terminal interacting protein 1, with no coding region annotated. The transcript has 13 exons. Lineage: Eukaryota; Metazoa; Chordata; Mammalia; Proboscidea; Elephantidae. The record is from RefSeq and is a predicted model, not a curated record.
GGGCCUUGGGGCGCCAUGGGGGCCACUGGUGAUGCCGAGCAACCGCGGGGGCCUGGCGGGGCAGAGCGGGGCGGCCCUGAGCGGGGGGACGCGGGCGCAGCGGGGCAGCUGGUUCUCACGAACCCUUGGAAUAUCAUGAUAAAGCACCGACAGGUGCAGCGAAGGGGCCGCCGUUCACAGAUGACGACAAGUUUCACAGAUCCUGCCAUCUCCAUGGACCUCCUCCGUGCUGUCCUGCAACCUAGUAUCAACGAGGAGAUCCAGACUGUCUUCAACAAGUACAUGAAGUUCUUCCAGAAGGCAGCAAUGAAUGUACGAGACAACAUUGGGGAAGGAGUGAAUGCAGAGCAGCUGAUCCAGGAGGCCUGUCGCAGCUGCUUGGAGCAGGCUAAGCUGUUGUUUUCAGAUGGAGAAAAAGUCAUACCCCGGCUGACCCAUGAGCUUCCAGGGAUAAAGCGUGGCCGCCAGACAGAAGAGGAAUGUGCCCAUCGAGGAAGCCCCAUCCCCAAAAAGAGGAAGGGACGGCCUCCUGGACACAUCCUGUCAAGUGACCGGGCAGCCGCCGGCAUGGUCUCACCUUGGAGAAGUCACCCUUCUUCUUUCCUUCCAAUCAGAUGGAAACCAAAAUCCUGUGAACCAAUACGCCGUGAAGGCCCCAAGUGGGACCCAGCUCGGCUGAAUGAAUCCACCACCUUUGUGUUGGGGUCUCGAGCCAACAAGGCCCUGGGCAUGGGGGGCACCAGAGGGAGGAUCUACAUCAAGCACCCACACCUCUUUAAGUGUCUUCACGCCUGCUGUUCCCUUCACCUGGGUGAUCUCCCUCCCCCACCCCAUCUCUGCCUAUCUGUUCUAUGAGAUCUACCUCCUCCAGGAACCUGGCUUGCAUCAUCCCCCAAGUGGAUAUGUUCUUGGAGCUUCUUGGAAUUCCUGGUGCACAAUGGUUAAGAGUGUGGUUUCACUACAGGUUCUAUUACUUACUAGCUGUGUGACUUGGCAAGAGGCUCCACAUUUUGAGCCUGUUCCAUCGUCAGUAAAGUGGGAACAUGAUAGACUGAUCUCUUAGGGUUCAAAGAACUAAGAGAGAGUACAGUAAAGCACGAGCAUAAUGCCUGGCACGGAGUAAGGGCUCAGUAAGUGGUAGUCGCUACUAGCAGCAAGGUUCCCAAUUCUAAAACCCACUGUUUAUAAUAAAUCCCAACCCACACCCUCAUCAUCAGUGGAUAUUAUCUCUCAUUUUAAUCUUUCCAGUCUAAUAAGUGGAAGGAAAACCUUUCUGUUGUUCUGCUUUGCAGUUCCAUGUUAGUGAUGAUGAGCAUCUUUCUGUUCAUUUAAAAUCUAUUUGUAUUUCUUCUGUAAACUGGUUAUUAUAGCGUUUGCCCAUUUUCCUGUCCUUCAAAGGGCAUUAUUCUUAUUUUUCUUUUCCUUUUUUAAACUAUCUUAUGUAUAGAAAUAACAUAAACCCAUUCUUACUGUAAAAAGAAAAGAUUUAAAGAAUAUAUCAGAGCUUACAAGGAGCAAAGCAAAAAGUAGCCCUUCCUCUGUGACUGUCUCUCCUUCCUGGAGGCGACCACCAACAGCAGUGGCAUGCAGCCUUCAGUCUGUGCACACACACACACACGUGUGUGUGUGUGUGUGUGUGUGUGUCACUUAAUGGCUUUCUACUUACAUGGAGAUCAUACCAUCUUGUUCUCUAAUUUUAUUUUUUUACCCAAAAAUUCAUUCAUCCAUUCACUGAACAAAUGUGUAUUGAGUGCCUACAAUAUGCUGGGUGCUUUCAAAGUGCUGGAGAUACCAACCCACUGCCCUUGAGUUGAUUCUGACCCAUGGAAACCGUAGAAGACAGUGUAGAACUACCCCCUAGUGUUUCCAAGGAGCGGCUGUUGGAUUCGAACUGCCAGCCUUUUGCUUACCAGUCAAGCUCUUCAGCUCUUCAGCACUGCACCACCAGGGCUCAAGCAGUGAACAAAACCAAGCUUGCCCUCAUGAGCCUACAUUCAAGUACAGGGCAAACUGUGACCUGUAGGCCCAAUUCAGCUUGUAGCCAGCUUUUGUCCAACUCAGGGAUUUUUACAUUUUUAAAGGGUGGUUUUAAGAAAAAACAACAAAAAAUAUGAAAGCCUAAAUUAUUUACUGUCUGGCCCUUGAUCACUCCCCUCUGUCUAAGUUGGUUUUUUCUCCGUGUUUUGCUGUCACAAACAGUGCUGCACCAAACUUGCUGGCACCAGGGUCUUUGUGUGCCUGUGUAGGUGGUGCUGAAGGCUGAGUGCCUGGAAGUGGAAGUGCUGGGUCAGAGAGUGCACGCUUGUGAAAUUUUGAUUAAUACUUAUAUUACUUGGGAAGUGAAAUAUUUAUUUAAACCCAAAGGAUGGUGACCACGCAGCCCAAAUUUUCCAGCUUUGUCUCAAAUAUUUUUCCUAUUUUAUAAACCAUAUAUGUGUCAGAUACUAUGUUUAACACUUUUUAUACACAUCUCAUGUAUUCUUAACAACAACCCAAUAAGUAUUAAUACUCUGCAUUUUACAUACGAGGAAACUGAGACUCAAGGAAAUUAAGGCUCAGGUUUACAACUCUAAUAAAUGAAAGAAGCAGAACUUAAACCUUGUUUGUCUACCUCCACAACCAUGUUCUUAACCAUGAUUCUGUUCUCCCUCCCCUAGUGCAUGAGGUGUCCUGAUUUUUUAUUUACAGAUAUGGUCGCGAUAAUAACCAUAGGUGUUGUAAGCCACCUCAGACCAUUUUUUUUUAAAGAGGAGGUUCUAAAUAAAUUAGUCACCAGUCCCACCGGUCACCAGAGAUGCUGUUUAGAGAAACAAAGGGCGUGAGAAUUAGAAGUGUCCUAAAUCUCUGGGAAUUGGGUCCCUUACCCUGGCCUCCUGGGAAUUAGCGCAACCAGCUUUGAAGAGGCUGGGGAGCCCUCUACAUCCACCAUUCUGGAACAAGAUCUUGUAGUAUGCAGCUGACCCCCAGGACAAGCACUGGCUGGCAGAGCAGCAUCACAUGCGGGCAACAGGGGGAAAGAUGGCGUACCUCCUCAUCGAGGAGGACAUCCGGGACCUCGCUGC